Molecule: ribosomal RNA, 419 nt
Filed under: uncultured archaeon
Lineage: Archaea
Description: bacterial SSU rRNA
Rfam family: Archaeal small subunit ribosomal RNA
Source: RNAcentral
GAGAUACUAUUAGACUUGAGACCGGGAGAGGUUAGAGGUACGUCCCAGGGUAGAGGUGAAAUUCUGUAAUCCUGGAGGACCGCCUGUUGCGAAGGCGUCUAACUGGAACGGUUCUGACGGUGAGGGACGAAAGUUAGGGGCGCGAACCGGAUUAGAUACCCGGGUAGUCCUAACUGUAAACGAUGCGGACUUGGUGUUGGGUGGCUUUGAGCUGCUCCAGUGCCGAAGGGAAGCUGUUAAGUCCGCCGCCUGGGAAGUACGGUCGCAAGACUGAAACUUAAAGGAAUUGGCGGGGAGCACCACAACGCGUGGAGCCUGCCGGUUUAAUUGGAUUCAACGCCGGACAUCUCACCAGAGGCGACAGCUGUAUGAUAGCCAGGUUGAUGACUUUGCUUGACUAGCUGAGAAGAGGUGCAUGG